RNAcentral lists this ribosomal RNA (1299 nucleotides) under human gut metagenome. Its description in RNAcentral is "bacterial LSU rRNA". It matches the Rfam family "Bacterial large subunit ribosomal RNA", at positions 1649 to 2925 of the family's 2925-position model. The record is from RNAcentral.
CCAAACCGACACAGGUGGUCAGGUAGAGAAUACCAAGGCGCUUGAGAGAACUCGGGUGAAGGAACUAGGCAAAAUGGUGCCGUAACUUCGGGAGAAGGCACGCUGAUAUGUAGGUGAAGUCCCUCGCGGAUGGAGCUGAAAUCAGUCGAAGAUACCAGCUGGCUGCAACUGUUUAUUAAAAACACAGCACUGUGCAAACACGAAAGUGGACGUAUACGGUGUGACGCCUGCCCGGUGCCGGAAGGUUAAUUGAUGGGGUCAGCGCAAGCGAAGCUCUUGAUCGAAGCCCCGGUAAACGGCGGCCGUAACUAUAACGGUCCUAAGGUAGCGAAAUUCCUUGUCGGGUAAGUUCCGACCUGCACGAAUGGCGUAAUGAUGGCCAGGCUGUCUCCACCCGAGACUCAGUGAAAUUGAACUCGCUGUGAAGAUGCAGUGUACCCGCGGCAAGACGGAAAGACCCCGUGAACCUUUACUAUAGCUUGACACUGAACAUUGAGCCUUGAUGUGUAGGAUAGGUGGGAGGCUUUGAAGUGUGGACGCCAGUCUGCAUGGAGCCGACCUUGAAAUACCACCCUUUAAUGUUUGAUGUUCUAACGUUGACCCGUAAUCCGGGUUGCGGACAGUGUCUGGUGGGUAGUUUGACUGGGGCGGUCUCCUCCUAAAGAGUAACGGAGGAGCACGAAGGUUGGCUAAUCCUGGUCGGACAUCAGGAGGUUAGUGCAAUGGCAUAAGCCAGCUUGACUGCGAGCGUGACGGCGCGAGCAGGUGCGAAAGCAGGUCAUAGUGAUCCGGUGGUUCUGAAUGGAAGGGCCAUCGCUCAACGGAUAAAAGGUACUCCGGGGAUAACAGGCUGAUACCGCCCAAGAGUUCAUAUCGACGGCGGUGUUUGGCACCUCGAUGUCGGCUCAUCACAUCCUGGGGCUGAAGUAGGUCCCAAGGGUAUGGCUGUUCGCCAUUUAAAGUGGUACGCGAGCUGGGUUUAGAACGUCGUGAGACAGUUCGGUCCCUAUCUGCCGUGGGCGCUGGAGAACUGAGGGGGGCUGCUCCUAGUACGAGAGGACCGGAGUGGACGCAUCACUGGUGUUCGGGUUGUCAUGCCAAUGGCACUGCCCGGUAGCUAAAUGCGGAAGAGAUAAGUGCUGAAAGCAUCUAAGCACGAAACUUGCCCCGAGAUGAGUUCUCCCUGACUCCUUGAGAGUCCUGAAGGAACGUUGAAGACGACGACGUUGAUAGGCCGGGUGUGUAAGCGCAGCGAUGCGUUGAGCUAACCGGUACUAAUGAACCGUGAGGCUUAACCUU